This 441-nucleotide ribosomal RNA is filed under the name uncultured bacterium. RNAcentral's name for it is "partial 16S ribosomal RNA". It matches the Rfam family "Bacterial small subunit ribosomal RNA", at positions 338 to 795 of the family's 1533-position model. The record is from RNAcentral.
CCUACGGGUGGCAGCAGUAGGGAAUAUUGCACAAUGGGCGAAAGCCUGAUGCAGCAACGCCGCGUGAAGGAAGACGGUUUUCGGAUUGUAAACUUCUGUUCUUAGUGAAGAAUAAUGACGGUAACUAAGGAGCAAGCCACGGCUAACUACGUGCCAGCAGCCGCGGUAAUACGUAGGUGGCAAGCGUUGUCCGGAUUUACUGGGUGUAAAGGGAGCGUAGGCGGGAAGCGAAGUCAGCUGUGAAAACUACGGGCUUAACCUGUAGGCUGCAGUUGAAACUGGCUUUCGUGAGUGAAGUAGAGGUUGGUGGAAUUCCGAGUGUAGCGGUGAAAUGCGUAGAUAUAACGCAGAACACCGAUGGCGAAGGCAGCCUGCUAGGCCAUGACUGACGCUGAUGCACGAAAGCGUGGGGAUCAAACAGGAUUAGAUACCCUAGUAGUC